CUUUUCAGAGAUGAGAAUGUGCCUUCGGGAACCGUGAGACAGGUGCUGCAUGGCUGUCGUCAGCUCGUGUUGUGAAAUGUUGGGUUAAGUCCCGCAACGAGCGCAACCCUUAUCCUUUGUUGCCAGCGGUCCGGCCGGGAACUCAAAGGAGACUGCCAGUGAUAAACUGGAGGAAGGUGGGGAUGACGUCAAGUCAUCAUGGCCCUUACGACCAGGGCUACACACGUGCUACAAUGGCGCAUACAAAGAGAAGCGACCUCGCGAGAGCAAGCGGACCUCAUAAAGUGCGUCGUAGUCCGGAUUGGAGUCUGCAACUCGACUCCAUGAAGUCGGAAUCGCUAGUAAUCGUGGAUCAGAAUGCCACGGUGAAUACGUUCCCGGGCCUUGUACACACC
RNAcentral lists this ribosomal RNA (395 nucleotides) under Escherichia coli. RNAcentral describes it as "bacterial SSU rRNA". It matches the Rfam family "Bacterial small subunit ribosomal RNA", at positions 996 to 1391 of the family's 1533-position model. The record is from RNAcentral. Lineage: Bacteria; Pseudomonadati; Pseudomonadota; Gammaproteobacteria; Enterobacterales; Enterobacteriaceae.